AUGGCCAUGGUGCUGGACGCCUUCGCGUCCUACAUCGCCGACACGAUCAAGCAGAUGGCGGCGGACGAGGUGGGGAUGCUGCUCGGCGUCACCGGGGAGAUCGACAGCCUGCACGACAAGCUGGAGAGCCUCAGGGACUACCUCGCCGAUGCCGAGAGGAAGCGCAUCACUGACCGGACGGUGCAGGGGUGGGUCACAAAGCUCAAGGGUGUCAUGUACGAGGCGACCAACAUCCUUGACCUCUGCGAGCUCAAGGCCAUGGGUCGGCGGGAUGCAGCACCCUCACCCUGCUGCAACCCGCUGCUCUUCUGCUUGCGGCAUCCCAUGUUCGCCCAUGAUAUUGGCAGCCGCAUCAGGAAGCUCAACAAGAGGCUGGACGACAUCUGCUUGCUCGGUGCUGCCUUCAGCUUCAUCAAGCUGGAGACCUACCAGGACUACAGGACCGGCCGACCUUCUGCAGCUGACCGGAAGACGGAUCCGGUGUUGGAACGCUCGGCUGUGGUAGGUGAGAAGAUUGAAGAGGAUACAAGAGCACUGGUUGAGGAGUUGACAAAGGAUAACGAUGGUAUCAUGGUGGUCGCCAUCGUCGGUGUCGGCGGGAUCGGGAAGACCACCCUUGCCAAGAAGGUCUUCAACCACGAGGAAAUUCAACACAAAUUUGAAAAGACGAUGUGGCUGAGCGUCACACAAGACUUCAGCGAUGUUGAGCUGCUAAGGUUGGCCAUCACCACCGCCGAUGGAAAACUCCCUGCAACUGAAGACAAAUCUAUGCUUGUGCCGGCCCUUCUCAACGCCGUCAGAAACCAGAAAUUUCUUCUAGUUUUGGAUGAUAUGUGGAGUGAUAGAGCAUGGACCUCAUUACUCAAUGCUCCCUUCAGCCACGGUGCCCCUGGUAGCCGGAUUGUCAUCACCACGAGAAAUGAGACGGUUGCCCCAGGCAUGAGAGCCAGAGAGCCCUACCACCGCAUUGAUAAAUUAGGGCCCGAGGAUGCCUGGACAUUGCUCAGGAAACAGGCAGUCUCAGGAGAGGCAGAUGGACUUGAUAUCGAUUUGCUGAAGGAUAUUGGAUUGCAAGUGGUAGCAAAGUGUGAUGGUUUGCCUCUUGCUGUCAAAGUAAUGGGGGGACUUUUGCGUCAGAAAGGGAAGCAUCGUCAUGACUGGGAGAUGGUUCUGAAUGAUUCUAUAUGGUCAGCAUAUGAAAUGCCCGAAGAACUGAACUAUGCAGUAUAUUUAAGCUAUGAAGAUUUGCCUCCUUGCAUCAAGCAGUGCUUUCUACAAUACUCCCUUCUCCCUAAAGGUGGAUCGUUCAGUCGUGCUGACAUUAUUGGCAUGUGGAUUAGUGAAGGAUUUAUUCACGGAAGCUCAGACGACUUGGAAGAAUUAGGAAUAAAGUACUAUAUUGAGCUGAUACUUAGGAACCUUAUUGAGCCAGGAAUACAGUAUAUUGAUGACCCAGUUCUCAAUAUGCAUGAUGUUGUUCGCUCAUUUGCUCAAUUUGCGGCUAGAGACGAGGCAGUAGCUGUUCAGAGUGGAGAGAAUGGUAAUAUUAGUAAACUCACUGCACAAUAG
RNAcentral lists this ribosomal RNA (1569 nucleotides) under Triticum aestivum (bread wheat). RNAcentral describes it as "partial small subunit ribosomal RNA". The record is from RNAcentral. Lineage: Eukaryota; Viridiplantae; Streptophyta; Magnoliopsida; Poales; Poaceae.